AUGGUUGGCAUUUUUUCAUACCUUGGCUUUUGUGGUCUUUCCUUCAAAUCACUGCAGCUCAUUUUUCAUUUGUGGCACCAGGUCAAUGGCCAAGACAUGCAGGAGGUCAGCCACCAUGAGGCUGUCAGCAUCCUGAGGAAUGCUGGGAGCUGCAUAAAAAUGAAAGUGCUACGGGAGAGAAGCAUGCCAGUGGAGCCUUGGCUGCAUGAGAGGAAUGACACCAUGGAAACAGCAGACCCCCAGGUCAGCCAAGAGUGGGAUGUUGCCAUGAGCAAUAACAGAUCAAGUGGCCCACAGUCCUCCACUGAUCCCAUGCUGGACUGCAGCCCAAUGACCAACAGGAUGGAAGCUACUGUCUGCAAUGGAAAUGGACUGGAUGAUCCAAUACAGGACUUACGGCUGACAAAAGACAUGGAGACCUUCAAAAACAAUGCCCUACAGGUUGUGAAAAAUACUAUGACGGUAUGUGAGAAGGAUAGAAUGUGUUUCUGUGAGGAUGUGUGUGUUUUAACAAUGAAAUCUCAGGAUUUUUUUUUUCAUCAGUGUUCUGUCCUUCAUUCGGAGGCAAUGCAUACCUCUAUACAAAACAGUCCUGUCCAGUUGUCCUUUUCUCAUUGAGUCUUGGUGAAGAAAAGUCCCUCUAAAGCAAUUUACAAUAGACUAUCUCAAAGAAAAAAUAAAUAAAUAAAAAUUACAGAAACUAUUAUCUUCACUUGUGUAUGCAGAGAGGAAAUUAAUCUGAGUAUCUACCUUGAAAGAAAUCAGUUCUCAUCUUGUUUUCCAGAAAAAUUACACUUGUGCUUCUCUGAAUUUAUAUUGUUUUAAAUUUGAAAUGAAACACAGCCGAGAGAAAAUGAGAAAAAUGUAGGGCGGGACUUGAUUUUGUCCACUUGGAAUUGAUUGGAUUGCUGGACUGUUGUUAUUUGCUGAUUUGCUGCGAUGUGACAGGUUGCUAGAGGGAAGGGCACAUGAAUAAAAAAAAAUAAUAAUGAGCACAGGUAAAGCAUUUAUACUAAAUAAUGCAAUAUAUAAAAUAAGAAUAAUCAAUUUUGAUUUCAUUGUGACUAAAGGAUAUUUAGUUCAGUAUAUGGGUAAAAAUAAAUUACAUAGUUUAGUUGAAAGAGAAUUUUUAUGGAGCCCCUAAUGAAAGAAAAAUAUAUUUUGGUGCUUUUGUGUUCACUCACACAACUUGGCAUGUAUAAAACGCAAAACUGGUGCUGGAAAUAACAUGAGAUAUGAGGAAAAACUUACACUUCAAUGCUUUUGUAAUGCAGUUUCAAAACUUUUGAGAGAGAACGCAAAAGCAUUUAAAUAUAUGUUUUCCUCCCAUCAUAUUUUUUUUUUCAUCUCUAUGUCACCAUGGGGGCUCCGUAGAUUUUUCUACCUGGUAUGAGCACCCUUGACAUCUCUCUGAAAAUAUGCUAAUGACCUUGAUAUUUUCCUCCCUAUAUGCUGCAGUGUAAGCCAUUGUAAAAACAUGACUUUUUAUUCUCUAGUGAAAAUACUGAAAAAUGUAUUCACCUGAGUAGCAAACCUGCAUGAGAUAUUAAAUUGUACUUAACUAUAUUUAGUGCCUUUUCACUACCAGCGCAAGUGUUGGGCAUUAGCAAAGUUUUCAAUAGAACAGCUUCCUUUGUGUGGAACUGUUAGUGUAGAGACCUGAUCUUACAGAUCCCAGAGUCUGUCUGGGAUUACAUGAAGAGACACAAAAAACUAUUAAAUGCAUUAGAAUGUGGGAACAUCUCAUCUGCUCAGCUGUUUUAAUGGCCAGAGGUGCUCACACCAAAUGUUGAUUUGAUUUGAUAGAAGUUAACUUAAAAGCAGAAAAGAGGAAAAAUAUUUUUUUUUUGUUUUACCUAAUAAGAGCUAUCAGGAAAGACUAAACUAAGUAAGUGGCUAAUUUUAAAUCUUGACAGCUCUGUGAAACCGGUGACUUCUCUUUUUCCCUCUCUUCUCAAUUUAAUGUGACCCUUUGACAGAUACCUCGGAUUAUUCUGACUCACCCCUCUACCUCAGAUGAGGACGUGGAGCCCCUGACGCAGGGCCCAGAUGACGGAGAUUUUGAUUCUGACUUCAGCGACUCGGACAGUCACAUCUACUCGGACUGCUUGAACAGCGCUUUCUAUCCUCUGUGAAAGAUAGAGAAGUACACAGACUCCAGGUUCUUCAUCUCUUUUCAUGCUUUUCGUUUAGUGUGUCAUUUGAUAUUAAAUGACCCUAAUAUACUGUUUCAAUUUCUUAUAGCCAUUUUUUUUCAUGUUCCUGAGAUUAUUAUAUUUAACAAAGAGCAUGUGGUUAUUAGCAUGACAGGAAAUGGCUUUAUCCACAGGCAUAAACAUGCUAAAUAGAUCUCAGAUUUGCAUGGAAGCGCUGAUGGUAGUCUAAAUAAUGGAUCAGGAUACACUGGAGUGUGAUUCAUUAUAUUUACACAACCCAACAGCACAAAUAGGCAAUGUCAACUGAGAUGAACAGAGAACUUAAUUUAACUGUAGAUUUCAAUCAGGUAGCUGCCAGACUCAAUUUUCCAGAUAAUUUUUGUGCUUUGGAAAGAUAACAAAUGUGUUUCUUUUUUUCCAGAAAAUAAAUUAUCGGACAAGGUUUAAUACCCUCUCUCUCUUUGUGAAUUCAGGUGUGCCUGUGUCCUUCGGUAAAGUGAAAUUGUUCUAGCUGUGGUCCACAAUCGCCGGAGCAGAAAACGAGUGGCGCGCGAUCGAUACUUCAGGCAAAGUCCACAGUAACAUGAUGCACUGUUUAGAACACCAUUGUGUGAAAGUGAUGUAGAGGAAGUGGGAAGUAAAUAGAUCAUAUUUUUCUAAAAUGUUACUCCUUUAAAUUGUACACGCUCUUAAAUAGACCUUACUUGCUUUGUGUAUGCUUCAUUUAAAUGUUUUUACUUGUAUCAUUUAUAAAUUGCCAAAAACAAAAUAAACUUUAAAAAUGUCAUUGUGCCGGUCAGGUGUGUAAUAGUAUGAAUGAUAUCUUUGAAGCGUAGAGCUGUUGUGAAUAUUUUGACAUGGAUAUCCAGCCUAGCAGCACAGAAGGCAUCCGAAUCACUGAACCACGGUGAUCUAUGAAGACCACUGACAGAUCACAGACUUGUUAAAUACUGUUUAAUCGCAUUUAAUAGUCCGGCAUUAUAGGUAAUGGAAUUUUGAUUUGUUCUAUGAUGGUAAAGCUCCUUGUUUAAGACUAAAAGAGUGUAUAAGACCUUACAUCCUGCUUACAUGAAU
This is a long non-coding RNA of Cyprinus carpio carpio, 3230 nucleotides long. NCBI's taxonomy places the organism in Eukaryota, Metazoa, Chordata, Actinopteri, Cypriniformes, Cyprinidae. The record is from Ensembl.